RNAcentral lists this ribosomal RNA (253 nucleotides) under uncultured bacterium. RNAcentral describes it as "partial 16S ribosomal RNA". It matches the Rfam family "Bacterial small subunit ribosomal RNA", at positions 524 to 776 of the family's 1533-position model. The record is from RNAcentral.
UACGGAGGGUGCAAGCGUUGCUCGGAAUUAUUGGGCGUAAAGCGCACGCAGGCGGCGUGGUAAGUCAGUUGUGAAACUCCCGGGCUUAACUUGGGAACUGCAGCUGAUACUGCCAUGCUUGAGUACGGAAGAGGGGAGUGGAAUUCCCAGUGUAGAGGUGAAAUUCGUAGAUAUUGGGAGGAACACCGGUGGCGAAGGCGGCUCCCUGGUCCGAUACUGACGCUCAUGUGCGAAAGCGUCGGGAGCAAACAGG